CAUCGAGCUGCACAUACUCCGGCCACUCAGACUGGUGGAGUUCCUGUAGUCACCCUGACGACCAGUCUUCUGGAUUAAACCUGUCAUGAACGACGAUGCUGCUCCUGCUCAAGACUCCAACGGGGACGUGGCUGACAUGAAGAUUUUGGUUUCUUCACCGUCGCCUAGAGACUCUCUCUCUGGCUGUGCUGCUGGGCCUUCUCACAAAUCACCCUGCAAGAGCCGCAGCAUCGGCAGCAAGAAGGUGAACGCCCUGAGAGCCAAGGUGCGACAGCUUCAAGAGCGUCAUAAGAGGCUGUAAAGAAGGCUGCAACGACAACGCCGGAU
Ixodes scapularis (black-legged tick) is the source of this 327-nucleotide long non-coding RNA. RefSeq lists it as uncharacterized. Lineage: Eukaryota; Metazoa; Arthropoda; Arachnida; Ixodida; Ixodidae. The transcript has 3 exons. The record is from RefSeq and is a predicted model, not a curated record.